CUCCUGGAAACGGGUGGUAAUGCCGGAUGCUCCCGCGCCCCGCAUGGGGUCCGGGAAAGCUCUGGCGGCGUGGGAUGGGGUCGCGUCCUAUCAGCUUGUUGGCGGGGUGAGGGCCCACCAAGGCUUCGACGGGUAGCCGGCCUGAGAGGGCGACCGGCCACAUUGGGACUGAGAUACGGCCCAGACUCCUACGGGAGGCAGCAGUGGGGAAUAUUGCACAAUGGGCGCAAGCCUGAUGCAGCGACGCCGCGUGCGGGAUGGAGGCCUUCGGGUUGUAAACCGCUUUUGUUUGGGAGCAAGCCCUUCGGGGUGAGUGUACCUUUCGAAUAAGCACCGGCUAACUACGUGCCAGCAGCCGCGGUAAUACGUAGGGUGCGAGCGUUAUCCGGAAUUAUUGGGCGUAAAGGGCUCGUAGGCGGUUCGUCGCGUCCGGUGUGAAAGUCCAUCGCUUAACGGUGGAUCCGCGUCGGGUACGGGCGGGCUGGAGUGCGGUAGGGGAGACUGGAAUUCCCGGUGUAACGGUGGAAUGUGUAGAUAUCGGGAAGAACACC
Molecule: ribosomal RNA, 551 nt
Filed under: uncultured bacterium
Lineage: Bacteria
Description: bacterial SSU rRNA
Rfam family: Bacterial small subunit ribosomal RNA
Source: RNAcentral